This 253-nucleotide ribosomal RNA is filed under the name uncultured bacterium. RNAcentral's name for it is "partial 16S ribosomal RNA". It matches the Rfam family "Bacterial small subunit ribosomal RNA", at positions 524 to 776 of the family's 1533-position model. The record is from RNAcentral.
AACGUAGGAGACAAACGUUAUCCGGAGUUACUGGGCGUAAAGGGCGUGUAGGUGGUUUCGUAAGUCUGGCGUGAAAUUUCUCGGCUUAACCGAGGCAGGUCGUCGGAUACUGCGGAGCUUGAGGACGGUAGAGGCGUGUGGAAUUCCGGGUGUAGUGGUGAAAUGCGUAGAGAUCCGGAGGAACACCAGUGGCGAAGGCGACACGCUGGGCCGUACCUGACACUGAUGCGCGACAGCAUGGGGAGCAAACAGG